UAGUCCACGCCGUAAACGAUGAGUGCUAGGUGUCGCGGGUUUUGACCCCUGCGGUGCCGUAGCUAACGCGUUAAGCACUCCGCCUGGGGAGUACGGCCGCAAGGCUAAAACUCAAAGGAAUUGACGGGGCCCGCACAAGCGGUGGAGCAUGUGGUUUAAUUCGACGCAACGCGCAGAACCUUACCCGGGCUAGAAAAGGUAGGAAUCCGGUAGAAAUACUGGAGUGCUCGCAAGAGAGCCUACAUCCAGGUGCUGCAUGGCUGUCGUCAGCUCGUGUCGUGAGAUGUUGGGUUAAGUCCCGCAACGAGCGCAACCCUUAUCCCUAGUUGCCAGCAGUUCGGCUGGGCACUCUAAGGAGACUGCCGGCGUCAAGCCGGAGGAAGGUGGGGAUGACGUCAAGUCCUCAUGGGCCCUUAUGUCCGGGGGCUACACACGUGCUACAAUGGGCAGGUACAAAGCGCAGCUAACUCGCGAGAGUACGCCAAUCGCAAAAAGCCU
RNAcentral lists this ribosomal RNA (498 nucleotides) under uncultured bacterium. RNAcentral describes it as "bacterial SSU rRNA". It matches the Rfam family "Bacterial small subunit ribosomal RNA", at positions 791 to 1284 of the family's 1533-position model. The record is from RNAcentral.